UAGAUAAGUUGGAAGUGAAAUCCUAUGGCUUAACCAUAGAACUGCUUCCAAAACUGUCUAUCUAGAAUAUGGGAGAGGUAGAUGGAAUUUCUGGUGUAGGGGUAAAAUCCGUAGAGAUCAGAAGGAAUACCGAUUGCGAAGGCGAUCUACUGGAACAUUAUUGACGCUCAGAUGCGAAAGCGUGGGGAGCAAACAGGAUUAGAUACCCUGGUAGUCCACGCCCUAAACGAUGCACACUAGUUGUUGCCUUGCUAGACAAGGCAGUAAUGCAGUUAACACAGUAAGUGUGCCGCCUGGGGAGUACGGUCGCAAGAUUAAAACUCAAAGGAAUAGACGGGGACCCGCACAAGCGGUGGAGCAUGUGGUUUAAUUCGACGAUACGCGAAGAACCUUACCUGGCCUUGACAUAGAGAGAACUUACUAGAGAUAGUUUGGUGCUAGCUUGCUAGAACUUUCAUACAGGUGCUGCACGGCUGUCGUCAGCUCGUGUCGUGAGAUGUUGGGUUAAGUCCCGCAACGAGCGCAACCCUCGUGUUUAGUUACUAACAGUUCGGCUGAGGACUCUAAACAGACUGCCUGGGUAACCAGGAGGAAGGUGAGGACGACGUCAAGUCAUCAUGGCCCUUACGGCCAGGGCUACACACGUGCUACAAUGGGGUAUACAAAGAGCAGCAAUACCGCAAGGUGGAGCAAAUCUCAUAAAAUAUCUCCCAGUUCGGAUAGUAGUCUGCAACUCGACUACUUGAA
Molecule: ribosomal RNA, 747 nt
Filed under: uncultured bacterium
Lineage: Bacteria
Description: bacterial SSU rRNA
Rfam family: Bacterial small subunit ribosomal RNA
Source: RNAcentral